This is a long non-coding RNA of Micropterus dolomieu (smallmouth bass), 1717 nucleotides long. RefSeq lists it as uncharacterized. The transcript is spliced from 2 exons. NCBI's taxonomy places the organism in Eukaryota, Metazoa, Chordata, Actinopteri, Centrarchiformes, Centrarchidae. The record is from RefSeq and is a predicted model, not a curated record.
UUCCUUUUCCCCUCCAUAAUUUAUCCCUCUUCCUGUUAACUCCUGUGCUUUUGUCCAUGUCCUCCUUUACAUGUCCUCUCUCUCGCUUUCUCUCCUGCUUCUCUUUAUUCCUGGACAUUGAGGAUCUGUGCAGACAGUCCGUGGUGCCAGUUCUUCAGCUUGGCAAAGCGGGGCCCUUUCACCUCCGACUCAAACCUCUCUCUGAUGGUGUGGAAGGCAGGACAAGGCUGUUACAUCAGAGCUUCCUCAUCUGGAUCUUGCACUGCAUGGAGGGAAAUAAACGAGAGAAUUUGGUGAGGAUUCACUAAUGAGAAGAUAACUGAACUGAGAAGGUUGAAAUGGACAAAACAAGUUAAGAUAGAAGGAAAGCAGGAGUCAGUGUACUGACUGUAUUCAGUGCCAGUGAUGUGGGCCAGGAUCCUGAAGCUCUUGGACUGCAGGUUGGCAGCACGACGAGCCCAUUCAGACAUGUCCUGGUUUGUCUCUCCUGGUCUGAUCACUGCCUGGUAAACCGGAGAUGCACAGUCUACCACAGGGUCCUUAACAGGCAGAGCUCCACUGCAGAUCAGAGAAUACUGUUAGAGCUCUAAGUGUAAAGCCCCCAAAUGUAGUAGAUAAUCAUAAUGUACUAAAUGCCCAUGAUGUUGUAUCAUUUUCAACUGAAUAGAUUAUAUUACUAUAAUAUUUUAUACAAUUUGUUCUACCCCUAAUGGGGGAAUCCGAAAAUUUCUAUUUACCUCCUACUAAUUCACAGGGAAAUUAUGAUUUAUUAUGAUUCAAUUUCACUGCAGAAUUGUAAAAUAUUGUUAAAAUGUGUAAAAGUUUGAAUUUAUCAUUUUCCUCCACACAGUCAAGUCAAAAUGAAACUAUCCCCUGGCCUGUAGGUACUGUAGAGGGCAGAGAGGACAGGGUUCAUCACUAAUAUUCUGGUAUACAAAUGAUCCAAACUUUGACUUUUUAAUUGUGUUUAAUUUAGCCAACUUUGUUCAAAGGCCUGGAAAAAAUGGCAAGAUGAACUGUUUCAUUCGUCUUUACUUUACAUGCUUGUAGUAUUGUUUGACAUUGCACUAAACUCUGAUCUGGUUUAUGUGGUGUCUUGUAAGCAUUGUUAGUGGAAUGUAACUAAGUACAUUUAAUCAAGUACUGUACUAAAGUAGCCUACCAUUUUGAGGUACUUUCCUUUGCAUUUCUAUUGUAUGCUACUUUAUAAUUCUACUCUACUACAUGUCAGAGGGAAAUAUUGCAGUCUUUACUACUCUACAUGUAUUUGACAGCAAUUGUUACUUUUUACUUUUUACAGAUUCAUAAUUAUUAUUAUUAUUUUUUAUUUAACCCAUAUUUAACCAGGUAAGACCAGCUUACAAGGAGACAUUUGCCUAAGACAGCACAAUAAAAAAGGUUAGAGAUGACAACAAUAACCACUAGAAAACAUUAAUACAUGAUCAACUCAGAAAUUAUGAUGUAGUAAUAAAGAUUUAGCUACCUCACACUAAAGGAGUUCAAAUUCACCUCACCUUUACAAGUUUCAACAUUAGGGAUGACACAUUUUAAUAUGUCAAUAAUUAUAAUCCAAUAAUAUAAUAUUUAUUAUUCUGCAUAAUUAGCACUUUUACUUUGGUAUGCUACUAGUCUGACCCUGAAUAUUCCACCACUUUUACAAUCCCAUGUGGGCCGGGCUUAGACUUAUGAAACAGUAAUAAAAUUAUUACAUCUUGUA